RNAcentral lists this long non-coding RNA (668 nucleotides) under Marmota monax (woodchuck). The record is from RNAcentral. Lineage: Eukaryota; Metazoa; Chordata; Mammalia; Rodentia; Sciuridae.
GGGGGCAGGGGGCCAUGGGGGGACCCCUGAGCCGGGCUGCAUGCUCAGAGGUCCCACCAAUCCCCACGAGGUGCCGCCGUUUUAGACGAAGAACCUGGAUUCGGUUCAAGACGUGGUUCUUGGCCUAGAACUUUCCAGUUUUCACAUCCCAUAAAAGAGGCCUGGACCGGAGACCGACGGCUCCUCCCCAAGCAGCACCUCUCACGAGGAGAACAAUGGUGUCGCACUUGUGCCCUGGACUGGGACGGUGCCACUGGCUAGCAAGCUGUGUGGCCUAGAGCAAGCUGUCUGACCUCUCUGUGCCUGUUUCCUCGUCUGUAAAAUGAGAACCACAAUAAUAAUCUCUUGUUGAGCAACUGAAGGAGACAAGCCAAGAAAUACUCCACAGUGACCGCUACCCAGACAGGGAGCCCCAAUGGACCGAGGGGUGUGGCAUUGUCACCAACUGUGACUGAGCACCACAAGCACCACACAGACCUGCCAAGAGGACCUAGGAAGGGACCUGAGCGCGUGACACAUGUCCACCCGAGGAGCCAUCUCCAGGGCGUGGGUUCGAGGGCUGGACCACACACCCCGAGUGCCAGCUCGUGCAGUCCUGAGGGUCCUGCUCUGCCCCAGGCCUCACUGAGCGCCCACCACCCUGGGCAGGCGCGGCCGGCGGAGCCCGC